This 430-nucleotide ribosomal RNA is filed under the name uncultured bacterium. RNAcentral's name for it is "partial 16S ribosomal RNA". It matches the Rfam family "Bacterial small subunit ribosomal RNA", at positions 354 to 796 of the family's 1533-position model. The record is from RNAcentral.
GUGGGGAAUAUUGCACAAUGGGCGGAAGCCUGAUGCAGCAACGCCGCGUGCGGGAUGACGGCCUUCGGGUUGUAAACCGCUUUCAGCAGGGACGAAGCGCAAGUGACGGUACCUGCAGAAGAAGCACCGGCUAACUACGUGCCAGCAGCCGCGGUGAUACGUAGGGUGCGAGCGUUGUCCGGAUUUAUUGGGCGUAAAGAGCUUGUAGGCGGUUGGUUGCGUCGAAAGUGCAAACUCAGGGCUUAACUCUGAGCCUGCUUUCGAUACGGGCUGACUGGAGGAAGGUAGGGGAGAAUGGAAUUCCCGGUGGAGCGGUGGAAUGCGCAGAUAUCGGGAGGAACACCAGUGGCGAAGGCGGUUCUCUGGACCUUUCCUGACGCUGAGAAGCGAAAGCGUGGGGAGCAAACAGGCUUAGAUACCCUUGUAGUCC